GACGAACGCUGGCGGCGUGCUUAACACAUGCAAGUCGAACGGAAAGGCCCUGCUUUUGUGGGGUGCUCGAGUGGCGAACGGGUGAGUAACACGUGAGUAACCUGCCCUUGACUUUGGGAUAACUUCAGGAAACUGGGGCUAAUACCGGAUAGGAGCUCCUGCUGCAUGGUGGGGGUUGGAAAGUUUCGGCGGUUGGGGAUGGACUCGCGGCUUAUCAGCUUGUUGGUGGGGUAGUGGCUUACCAAGGCUUUGACGGGUAGCCGGCCUGAGAGGGUGACCGGCCACAUUGGGACUGAGAUACGGCCCAGACUCCUACGGGAGGCAGCAGUGGGGAAUAUUGCACAAUGGGCGGAAGCCUGAUGCAGCAACGCCGCGUGCGGGAAGACGGCCUUCGGGUUGGAAACCGCUUUCGCCUGUGACGAAGCGGGAGUGACGGUAAUGGGUAAAGAAGCACCGGCUAACUACGUG
This 468-nucleotide ribosomal RNA is filed under the name uncultured bacterium. RNAcentral's name for it is "partial 16S ribosomal RNA". It matches the Rfam family "Bacterial small subunit ribosomal RNA", at positions 28 to 507 of the family's 1533-position model. The record is from RNAcentral.